Molecule: ribosomal RNA, 488 nt
Filed under: uncultured bacterium
Lineage: Bacteria
Description: bacterial SSU rRNA
Rfam family: Bacterial small subunit ribosomal RNA
Source: RNAcentral
CUACGUGCCAGCAGCCGCGGUAAUACGUAGGGUGCGAGCGUUAAUCGGAAUUACUGGGCGUAAAGCGAGCGCAGACGGUUACUUAAGCAGGAUGUGAAAUCCCCGGGCUCAACCUGGGAACUGCGUUCUGAACUGGGUGACUAGAGUGUGUCAGAGGGAGGUAGAAUUCCACGUGUAGCAGUGAAAUGCGUAGAGAUGUGGAGGAAUACCGAUGGCGAAGGCAGCCUCCUGGGAUAACACUGACGUUCAUGCUCGAAAGCGUGGGUAGCAAACAGGAUUAGAUACCCUGGUAGUCCACGCCCUAAACGAUGUCAAUUAGCUGUUGGGCAACUUGAUUGCUUAGUAGCGUAGCUAACGCGUGAAAUUGACCGCCUGGGGAGUACGGUCGCAAGAUUAAAACUCAAAGGAAUUGACGGGGACCCGCACAAGCGGUGGAUGAUGUGGAUUAAUUCGAUGCAACGCGAAGAACCUUACCUGKGUCCUGACAU